UGGGGAAUAUUGCACAAUGGGCGAAAGCCUGAUGCAGCGACGCCGCGUGAGGGAUGACGGCCUUCGGGUUGUAAACCUCUUUCAGCAGGGAAGAAGCCACAAGUGACGGUACCUGCAGAAGAAGCGCCGGCUAACUACGUGCCAGCAGCCGCGGUAAUACGUAGGGCGCAAGCGUUGUCCGGAAUUAUUGGGCGUAAAGAGCUCGUAGGCGGUUUGUCGCGUCUGCUGUGAAAGCCCGGGCUUAACCCCGGGUGUGCAGUGGGUACGGGCAGACUAGAGUGCAGUAGGGGAGACUGGAAUUCCUGGUGUAGCGGUGGAAUGCGCAGAUAUCAGGAGGAACACCGAUGGCGAAGGCAGGUCUCUGGGCUGUUACUGACGCUGAGGAGCGAAAGCAUGGGGAGCGAACA
RNAcentral lists this ribosomal RNA (407 nucleotides) under uncultured bacterium. RNAcentral describes it as "partial 16S ribosomal RNA". It matches the Rfam family "Bacterial small subunit ribosomal RNA", at positions 355 to 774 of the family's 1533-position model. The record is from RNAcentral.